RNAcentral lists this transfer RNA (63 nucleotides) under Smaragdina rufimana. RNAcentral's name for it is "tRNA-Phe". The record is from RNAcentral. Lineage: Eukaryota; Metazoa; Arthropoda; Insecta; Coleoptera; Chrysomelidae.
ACUUAAAUAGCUUAUAUAGAGCGUGGUAUUGAAGAUACCAAGGAGAUGUGACAUUUUUAAGUA